This 75-nucleotide transfer RNA is filed under the name Phycisphaerae bacterium. RNAcentral's name for it is "tRNA-Pro". It matches the Rfam family "tRNA". Rfam says of the family: Transfer RNA (tRNA) molecules are approximately 80 nucleotides in length. Their secondary structure includes four short double-helical elements and three loops (D, anti-codon, and T loops). Further hydrogen bonds mediate the characteristic L-shaped molecular structure. tRNAs have two regions of fundamental functional importance: the anti-codon, which is responsible for specific mRNA codon recognition, and the 3' end, to which the tRNAs corresponding amino acid is attached (by aminoacyl-tRNA synthetases). tRNAs cope with the degeneracy of the genetic code in two manners: having more than one tRNA (with a specific anti-codon) for a particular amino acid; and 'wobble' base-pairing, i.e. permitting non-standard base-pairing at the 3rd anti-codon position. The record is from RNAcentral. Lineage: Bacteria; Pseudomonadati; Planctomycetota; Phycisphaerae.
CGGAGCAUAGCUCAGCAUGGCUAGAGCGCUGCGUUCGGGACGCAGAGGUCGCUGGUUCAAAUCCAGUUGCUCCGA